Nomascus leucogenys (northern white-cheeked gibbon) is the source of this 136-nucleotide small nucleolar RNA. NCBI's taxonomy places the organism in Eukaryota, Metazoa, Chordata, Mammalia, Primates, Hylobatidae. The record is from Ensembl.
UACGGCCUUUAUCAAAGCUGCAGCUGCUUCCACAUAGCUGCUGUGGUCAAAAAGAAGCCGAGAGUGACAGUUUUCCUUGAAUGGUCAUAGUUCUGUUUGCUGUAACUGAUCUGCAACAUUUUGGGAAAAUAUAGUU